Molecule: long non-coding RNA, 1420 nt
Organism: Nematostella vectensis (starlet sea anemone)
Lineage: Eukaryota; Metazoa; Cnidaria; Anthozoa; Actiniaria; Edwardsiidae
Exons: 2
Source: RefSeq, a predicted model, not a curated record
UGCGACUCGUGACAAGGACUCGGUAUCACGGGACAGAUAACUUUCUAUCGAGAUUGGCUAUUGAAAGCCGGUAGUAGUUCAACAAGUUUCUUAAUGACCUGUGAAUGACUGUACAUAAUGAUAUUGCUAAAUGUCGAACUCUGUACCAAUCUAGGCAUUUUUUUUGCAAUUUUUGGCAAUUUACUUUCAUAAACACAAAGAGGAAAGUCUUCUUAUAUAGCUUGCAUGUGAUAACAUUAAUUAAUCCCCCCAUAUCAUAAUAAAUAAAGGCAUUAACAUUCAUACCAUCCCAUCUACCUAUCAACAUAGCAGAUGGAACAUGGAGGGGGUGGGGUUCUCGAUGCAGCAAUACUGUCCAAUACUGUCAUUAACAGAGGGUAGAAAGAAAAGUUUAAAUCACACAAUAUGUUUUAUUGGCAAUCCUCAUCCGCUCGUUAAAUGGGGUAAAAGCAAUGGGGGAGAAACAGUAGAACGGGAAUACAAUAGACAAUGAGAAGCACGAGCUUUACAAACAGUUAUAAACUGUUAUCACGUACACUCUACACUUUUUCAAAAAGUAAACCACGCUUACAACAAGCACCAUCCAGCUAUAAGAAAUCCUACCAGGCUCAAGAUAGCUUAAAGGUGUUAGAAGUCAAGACCAAGAAAUUAAAUUUAGUAUACAGCUAGCAAGGUCGCAUCCACUUCCCUAAAGCAACCUCACGUUGACGUGUAGGGGUAAGGUGAAUUGGCUAGCAACUCAUUUACUUUGACACACGUCUCAAAUGCGAACUUUUUCCUUACCAGGUAUCUCCAUAUUUUCUCCUCCCCCUAGCAUCCCUCGGCUCCCAGUUUCCAUUCUCCCCUUCGCAUUUUACUAGUACUUGUUCUUACCUCCUGAUGAUAAACCCUGUACUAGAACACACGUGAGGCUGCUUAACUUUUCAAAGAGCUCUAUGAAAUAUUCUAUUCCUUAUUUACCGUCAUUUAUUAUACAUUUACGUGCAUGUUUUUGAACUUUUGUUGUUUUCAUUAUAUUUGAACUCACUUCUUUUUCCACCAGCAUGUACACCUUACCCCUUAUCAGCCUUUUUGUUUUCCGGUCUAUACCUCCCCUACCCACUACCUCCUUCUUAAUCUUCCCAUUCACCCUAUACUCCAUGGUAAGAACAACCGCGUCACUAUCCUGGACACUCCUUAUAGUCUAACUCCACUCACCGUAGCAUUAUCCCCACAAUGACCCACCCGCCCUCACCCCUGCCACCAAUCUCUACCCGUAUCACAACCAUUAUCCCCUUUUAUGUCCCACUUCUCCCCAGGUGCCAUGGUACGAAUACCCGCUUUUAACAAAAAAAAGCUACAUUUCUGGUUAAAUAAGUCUCAUCACAGCUGUCUAAUAACGCAAAGAACGAUGCAAGAGUCGCCAGUAUUAUACUCAAUA